This 133-nucleotide long non-coding RNA is filed under the name Zonotrichia albicollis (white-throated sparrow). Its description in RNAcentral is "lncRNA (ENSZALG00000001793.1)". Lineage: Eukaryota; Metazoa; Chordata; Aves; Passeriformes; Passerellidae. The record is from RNAcentral.
GAGUUCCAUGGGCUGUACAGGACAAGGUGUCACACUCUGCGCAGCACAGGGUGUCACACACAGCCCAGGGUGUCACACACAGCCCAGGACAGUGUCACACACAGCCCAGCACAGGCAGAGCCCGGGCAGCUCC